Molecule: ribosomal RNA, 253 nt
Filed under: uncultured bacterium
Lineage: Bacteria
Description: partial 16S ribosomal RNA
Rfam family: Bacterial small subunit ribosomal RNA
Source: RNAcentral
GACGAAGGAUGCAAGCGUUAUCCGGAUUCAUUGGGUUUAAAGGGCGCGUAGGCGGAUUGGUAAGUCAGUGGUGAAAUCUGUGGGCUUAACCCACAAACUGCCAUUGAUACUGCUGAUCUAGAGUACAGUUGCCGUUGGCGGAAUAUGACAUGUAGUGGUGAAAUACUUAGAUAUGUCAUAGAACACCGAUUGCGAAGGCAGCUAACGAAGCUGUAACUGACGCUGAGGCUCGAAAGUGCGGGGAUCAAACAGG